GAUCUGUUAUGCAGUUUGAACUCAUCAAGAACCUUAGCACAAAGAGGGAAGGCUGAAGUUUCUUUUUCUUCACGGUGGGACCUCGUAAUUAGAAAUGUCUAGAAAAAUGAUGGGUUGGAAAUGAGAGGGAGGAGAUGCAGACGGCAAACUUGGCUAACCUUUCACCUAUAUAGGACGGACCAUGAUGUCGAUCCUAACACAAUCUUUACAUUGGUAAGCAGUCACUGUCCAGUUCAAGGAAAGAGGGCAAGGUAGGGUGCCUUUUUCUGGUUUCUUUUUUGUUUCCCUCAGCUGAGGACGUCUUGCUGUUUAAGGACAAGAAUUGCUGGUGAUAUUUCUCUCAAGGCAUUGCAUAUUCUUUUA
This is a long non-coding RNA of Populus euphratica (Euphrates poplar), 363 nucleotides long. RefSeq lists it as uncharacterized. Lineage: Eukaryota; Viridiplantae; Streptophyta; Magnoliopsida; Malpighiales; Salicaceae. The transcript is spliced from 2 exons. The record is from RefSeq and is a predicted model, not a curated record.